CUAGCUAAACUUUCUUCUUCUCUCCGUCAUCGCACCAGCUUCUUCUUCUCCUUUCUUCACUCACAGCGCCACCGCCGGCCACCCUAACCGCAGCAGCUACCUUCUCUUUCUUCUCUUCUAUUUUUAAACACCGAACCAGUAGAACACAGUCUCUGUCUCUCUUGUUCUUUCUCGUUCGCAAAACAAAGCAAACUCAAGCUCCACCUCUGCCGUGCCUCGCUCUCUCCUUUUAUCCCCCUCAGUUCUGGCUCGCAUAUCUUCUCAGCGCCACAGCCAUCGUUUUCUCCAGUCAAUGCCGCGGCUAUCUUCGCGCAAGUCCCAACUCUGUGGCGACUAAAAUCAGUUUCACCGUUAACCGUGGUUCUAUUUUUCUCUUUUUCCCUGUUUGAACCGUAAAGAUCUGGACAUCCUUCUUUUCCUCUGCCUUAUUUUGAUUGUCUCUGUUUUCGGGUUUUAGUUUUAAAAUUUUUUUAAUUUCUGUUGAGUUUAAUUAAUUUUGUUUAGUUAGUUUAAUUUUAGUAAUCAGUUUAGUUAGAUUUGCUUUUUGAUUAGUGGAUUUGUAGGUGGUUAAAAUAGAAUUAGAUUAGGUUUUGAUUUUGAAUAGCUGAGAAAUAGGAGAGACGGUUUCUAAGGCAUUGUUUGGUAAACAGGAAUUGGGAAGAAAAUGAGGAAGAAAUAGGAGAGAGAAAGAGAGAGAGAGAGACAGUGACUCGGUGAGGUGAGUAACUGAAUGACGAAUUAAAACGAAAGGUUUAGGGGCGUAGGGACUAGGGAGGGAGACGAAACUAUUGAUUCCGCUACUGUGUAAUUGAAUGGAAUUGAGUGCACAAUAGAAUUAGAGAUAACACCGAAAACAAAGAAUCGUGUAGAAUCAAGGGAGCUAGGGUUUGCGAUGAGUGAGAGUAACAGCAACAGCAACGGGGUGAGCAAUAUCAACAUAACAAGAUUUUGUGUUUUAUGUCAGUAUUUUCCACAACCACUAGGUUUUUCUUUUUCCAUUUCUCUUUCUGUUUCUGUUACAUAACAAGAUUUUGUGUUUUAUGUCAGUAAAAAUGGGCAAGUUGUUGGCACAGUUUACAAGGACAUGAAGGGUCCACGCUUUCCUACCAUUGCUGUUCAUAGCCAAAAUGAAGAUUCUGCUUCACUAAAUGAAUGAGCCAGACUAUUUUCAGUUCUGCUUUCCAUAUCAUGUGAAGCUCAGUAAAAAAGGUUACUGUUCACUGAUAUACAGCGGCGAUCAUGACAUGUUGAUUCCUUACUUGGCAACUGAAGCAUGGAUAAGAUCUUUAAACUGCUACAUCAUAGAUGAUUGGAGGCCAUGGCACACAAAUGGCCAAGUUGCAGGAUACCCAAGGACUUACUCAUGGCUGAGGUGAGGACAAGGUUCUUGAGUGUUUUGAACUUCAACCCGAUAACAGUGUGUUUCUAGAGCUGAUUCCUAUUUUUCCCAAGUCUCAUGCUUCACAGAUUCUUGGAUUUAAGUUUCAAUAUUAUCAGCACAUGGAAGUCAGCUGCCCUGUUCCCUUUGGGCUCUAUAAGCUCACAGCAUUACUAUUGAUAUUGAUAUUGAUAUUGAUAUUGAUAUUGAUAUUGAUAUUGCUGAUGAUGAUAUUAUCUUGUGGUAUAAUUUUAAUUUAUCUAUCUACUGGGCUCUACACUUGUCACAGUUUUUUGAUGGAUAUGAAUAUCAUGUGACAUCAUUUGAGCAGACUUACCAAUGUUACCCUGCUUCGUUUAUUGAGAAGGUUCGAUUUGUUAUAUGAAGAAUGCAUUGAGUUUAAUAAGCUGGGACUUAGAGAUAAUGUUGCGCAGAUAUGUGUACUAGAGUUCAAAACUCAAAAUGGAUCUGUCCCAUCAAGGACUUUCCCUGGAUAUGUUAUGACUUAAGAGAUUGGAAAGCUAUUCUUUAUAUAUAAAACUUAGUUGGUUUAAGGAGUGGAAGAGCCACUUUCUUAUUGAUGAUAAUGAUGAAGAGUUUUUUUUGGAGGGCUUUCAAGUAGGAUGAUGAUGAGGAGGAGGACUAUGAUGAUGAUGAGGAUGAAGAUGACACAGAAGACUAUAACUGAUCGUUUUAGUAUGGUUGAACAAUAUACUGAAAAUUAUAGUUGAUGUAUCAAUACACUUUGUUUAUGUUUUGAAUUAUAUUGACUUGUUUGUUUAUAGUACUUUUCUUUUAGUUUGAUAAUACGAUAAAUUUGUUUAUUUUUUGAAA
Molecule: RNA transcript, 2212 nt
Organism: Arachis duranensis
Lineage: Eukaryota; Viridiplantae; Streptophyta; Magnoliopsida; Fabales; Fabaceae
Exons: 9
Source: RefSeq, a predicted model, not a curated record